Molecule: unclassified non-coding RNA, 473 nt
Filed under: Hevea brasiliensis (rubber tree)
Lineage: Eukaryota; Viridiplantae; Streptophyta; Magnoliopsida; Malpighiales; Euphorbiaceae
Source: RNAcentral
AUCUCCACCAUACAGGGAUAAGCGGCCUGGGAAUGAGGAAACCAGAGAACAAGUUCCAGAAGCUCAGGAAGAAGGACAUAACAAUUGCAGCAAUUUGAUGGCCAGGAGUCAGGGCAACAACCAUCAUUCCGUACAUUGAAAAGUAGGUAAAGCACAUGAAGAUGAAGUAGUAGAAAUAGAAGAAUUUGUCCACCUCCCACUCAUAGCCGAUCAUUGAGUACAAAAGGAGAGUAUAAAUAAAGGUUUGGAUUGCAACAUAAAUGGUCUCUACAGCCACAUGAGCAAAUGCAUAAGGCAACUCUGAAUACAUCCCUGCUGCUCUUUCACGAUAGAAAACUGUUCUCUCUACUGCCACAACAGAUUGCACAGCAGAAGCAUUGCUACCUCCAAGGAAAAGAAUAGCAGCAUAGGUAGCUCCAAGCAGAUUGGUCAGUUCUUGUCGUGUUUCUAUCUGGCCUCCUUUAUUCCAGAAG